AGGGAAAUAGCUCAGUGGCAGAGCCCACGCUUACUGUGCCUGAGGUCCUGGGUUCAACCCCUGGUACCUCCA
Molecule: transfer RNA, 72 nt
Filed under: Camelus bactrianus (Bactrian camel)
Lineage: Eukaryota; Metazoa; Chordata; Mammalia; Artiodactyla; Camelidae
Also listed under: 2 other names
Rfam family: tRNA
About the family: Transfer RNA (tRNA) molecules are approximately 80 nucleotides in length. Their secondary structure includes four short double-helical elements and three loops (D, anti-codon, and T loops).
Source: Rfam by way of RNAcentral